GUGGCGAACGGGUGAGUAACACGUGAGUAACCUGCCCCUGACUCUGGGAUAAGCGUUGGAAACGACGUCUAAUACUGGAUAUGAUCACUGGCCGCAUGGUCUGGUGGUGGAAAGAUUUUUUGGUUGGGGAUGGACUCGCGGCCUAUCAGCUUGUUGGUGAGGUAAUGGCUCACCAAGGCGACGACGGGUAGCCGGCCUGAGAGGGUGACCGGCCACACUGGGACUGAGACACGGCCCAGACUCCUACGGGAGGCAGCAGUGGGGAAUAUUGCACAAUGGGCGAAAGCCUGAUGCAGCAACGCCGCGUGAGGGAUGACGGCCUUCGGGUUGUAAACCUCUUUUAGUAGGGAAGAAGCGAAAGUGACGGUACCUGCAGAAAAAGCACCGGCUAACUACGUGCCAGCAGCCGCGGUAAUACGUAGGGUGCAAGCGUUGUCCGGAAUUAUUGGGCGUAAAGAGCUCGUAGGCGGUUUGUCGCGUCUGCUGUGAAAUCCCGAGGCUCAACCUCGGGCUUGCAGUGGGUACGGGCAGACUAGAGUGCGGUAGGGGAGAUUGGAAUUCCUGGUGUAGCGGUGGAAUGCGCAGAUAUCAGGAGGAACACCGAUGGCGAAGGCAGAUCUCUGGGCCGUAACUGACGCUGA
This 641-nucleotide ribosomal RNA is filed under the name Curtobacterium sp. I13A-01607. Its description in RNAcentral is "bacterial SSU rRNA". It matches the Rfam family "Bacterial small subunit ribosomal RNA", at positions 95 to 749 of the family's 1533-position model. Lineage: Bacteria; Bacillati; Actinomycetota; Actinomycetes; Micrococcales; Microbacteriaceae. The record is from RNAcentral.